CCUACGGGAGGCAGCAGUGGGGAAUAUUGCACAAUGGGCGAAACCCUGAUGCAGCAACGCCGCGUGAGCGAAGAAGUCAUUCGUGUCGUAAAGCUCUAUCCGCAGGGAAGAUAAUGACGGUACUUUACUAAGAAGCCCCGGCUAACUACGUGCCAGCAGCCGCGGUAAUACGUAGGGGGCUAGCGUUAUCCGGAUUUACUGGGGGAAAGGGGUGCGUAGGUGGGUUCCAAAGUCAGAGGUGAAAGGCUAUGGCUCAACCGUGGUAAGCCUUUGAAACUGGGGAACUAGAGUGCAGGAGAGGUGAGUGGAAUUCCUAGUGUAGCGGUGAAAUGCGUAGAUAUUAGGAGGAACACCAGUGGCGAAGGCGGCUUACUGGACUGUAACUGACACUGAGGCACGAAGGCGUGGGGAGCAAACAGGAUUAGAUACCCUUGUAGUC
This 439-nucleotide ribosomal RNA is filed under the name uncultured bacterium. Its description in RNAcentral is "partial 16S ribosomal RNA". It matches the Rfam family "Bacterial small subunit ribosomal RNA", at positions 338 to 795 of the family's 1533-position model. The record is from RNAcentral.